This 1444-nucleotide ribosomal RNA is filed under the name uncultured organism. RNAcentral describes it as "SSU rRNA". It matches the Rfam family "Bacterial small subunit ribosomal RNA". The record is from RNAcentral.
UGGAUGAACGCUAGCUACAGGCUUAACACAUGCAAGUCGAGGGGCAUCAGGAAGAAAGCUUGCUUUCUUUGCUGGCGACCGGCGCACGGGUGAGUAACACGUAUCCAACCUGCCCUUUACUCGGGGAUAGCCUUUCGAAAGAAAGAUUAAUACCCGAUGGCAUAAUGAUUCCGCAUGGUUUCAUUAUUAAAGGAUUCCGGUAAAGGAUGGGGAUGCGUUCCAUUAGGUUGUUGGUGAGGUAACGGCUCACCAAGCCUUCGAUGGAUAGGGGUUCUGAGAGGAAGGUCCCCCACAUUGGAACUGAGACACGGUCCAAACUCCUACGGGAGGCAGCAGUGAGGAAUAUUGGUCAAUGGGCGCUAGCCUGAACCAGCCAAGUAGCGUGAAGGAUGAAGGCUCUAUGGGUCGUAAACUUCUUUUAUAUAAGAAUAAAGUGCAGUAUGUAUACUGUUUUGUAUGUAUUAUAUGAAUAAGGAUCGGCUAACUCCGUGCCAGCAGCCGCGGUAAUACGGAGGAUCCGAGCGUUAUCCGGAUUUAUUGGGUUUAAAGGGAGCGUAGGUGGACUGGUAAGUCAGUUGUGAAAGUUUGCGGCUCAACCGUAAAAUUGCAGUUGAUACUGUCAGUCUUGAGUACAGUAGAGGUGGGCGGAAUUCGUGGUGUAGCGGUGAAAUGCUUAGAUAUCACGAAGAACUCCGAUUGCGAAGGCAGCUCACUGGACUGCAACUGACACUGAUGCUCGAAAGUGUGGGUAUCAAACAGGAUUAGAUACCCUGGUAGUCCACACAGUAAACGAUGAAUACUCGCUGUUUGCGAUAUACAGUAAGCGGCCAAGCGAAAGCAUUAAGUAUUCCACCUGGGGAGUACGCCGGCAACGGUGAAACUCAAAGGAAUUGACGGGGGCCCGCACAAGCGGAGGAACAUGUGGUUUAAUUCGAUGAUACGCGAGGAACCUUACCCGGGCUUAAAUUGCAGUGGAAUGAUGUGGAAACAUGUCAGUGAGCAAUCACCGCUGUGAAGGUGCUGCAUGGUUGUCGUCAGCUCGUGCCGUGAGGUGUCGGCUUAAGUGCCAUAACGAGCGCAACCCUUAUCUUUAGUUACUAACAGGUCAUGCUGAGGACUCUAGAGAGACUGCCGUCGUAAGAUGUGAGGAAGGUGGGGAUGACGUCAAAUCAGCACGGCCCUUACGUCCGGGGCUACACACGUGUUACAAUGGGGGGUACAGAAGGCAGCUAGCGGGUGACCGUAUGCUAAUCCCAAAAGCCUCUCUCAGUUCGGAUCGAAGUCUGCAACCCGACUUCGUGAAGCUGGAUUCGCUAGUAAUCGCGCAUCAGCCACGGCGCGGUGAAUACGUUCCCGGGCCUUGUACACACCGCCCGUCAAGCCAUGGGAGCCGGGGGUACCUGAAGUACGUAACCGCAAGGAUCGUCCUAGGGUAAAACUGGUG